Molecule: ribosomal RNA, 498 nt
Filed under: uncultured bacterium
Lineage: Bacteria
Description: bacterial SSU rRNA
Rfam family: Bacterial small subunit ribosomal RNA
Source: RNAcentral
CGGCUUGAGAGAGUGGACGGCCACAUUGGGACUGAGACACGGCCCAGACUCCUGCGGGAGGCAGCAGUGGGGAAUAUUGCACAAUGGGGGGAACCCUGAUGCAGCAAUGCCGCGUGGGUGAAGAAGCACUCCGGUGCGUAAAGCCCUGUCAGCAGGGAAGAAAAUGACAGUACCUGGACAAGAAGCCCCGGCUAACUACGUGCCAGCAGCCGCGGUAAUACGUAGGGGGCAAGCGUUAUCCGGAUUUACUGGGUGUAAAGGGAGCGCAGGCGGCGUGGCAAGUCAGAUGUGAAAACCCGGGGCCCAACCCCGGGAGUGCAUUUGAAACUGCCAUGCUGGAGUGCCGGAGAGGUAAGCGGAAUUCCUAGUGUAGCGGUGAAAUGCGUAGAUAUUAGGAGGAACACCAGUGGCGGAGGCGGCUUACUGGACGGUAACUGACGCUGAGGCUCGAAAGCGUGGGGAGCAAACAGGAUUAGAUACCCUGGUAGUCCACGCCGU